GCGCACUUCCACACCAGCCCGUGUAGUGUGACGCUGGGCCCCGUCCCUAUGACCGGGCCAGGCUCGGAGCUGCAGGGAAUCCGGACUUUCGGGCUCUCUGGAAGGCCGGGGAGAGGCCAGUGUGGGAGGACCUGGUGGGGAGGAGGCCGUGUUACAAACCCUGCGCGGAGCUGCACCGCUGCUGCCAGACACUGCGACGCCGCGACCUUUUCUACUCCGGACUACGUUUCCCAGCGGACCCCGCGGGAGUUGGGCCGGCGGCCCCUUUGUGUCCUCCGGGGGCGGAGGCAGCUGAGGCGCUUCUUUCCGGGCCCGUAGGGGCUGGGUUCCAUCCAACUAAGGGUAGCGGUGAGACCCGAGUGCAGAUUCCCCAAGCCUUCGGGGCAGGAAGGGGAUCUUCCACCAGUUCUGUUCUGCAGGUCGGGAGUGGGCUGAGGAGUGGCGUGUGGGUCUCCGGAAGCUCGUCCCAGGCCAUCUGUGUGACUCCGGUGCGAGUGGAGGUCUCCAUUAUGCUCUCUCUAUUGGAGGGAAGGUUGCAAGAGGAGGAAAGAGAAUCCUAAA
RNAcentral lists this small RNA (561 nucleotides) under Pan troglodytes (chimpanzee). RNAcentral's name for it is "processed transcript". Lineage: Eukaryota; Metazoa; Chordata; Mammalia; Primates; Hominidae. The record is from RNAcentral.